GUCCACGCCCUAAACGAUGAUGACUAGUUGUUGGGGGAGUUAAAUCCCUUAGUAACGCAGCUAACGCGCGAAGUCAUCCGCCUGGGGAGUACGGUCGCAAGAUUAAAACUCAAAGGAAUUGACGGGGGCCCGCACAAGCGGUGGAUGAUGUGGUUUAAUUCGAUGCAACGCGAAAACCUUACCUACCCUUGACAUGUGCGGAACCCUGCAGAAAUGCAGGGGGUGCCCGAAAGGGAACCGCAACACAGGUGCUGCAUGGCUGUCGU
RNAcentral lists this ribosomal RNA (266 nucleotides) under uncultured bacterium. RNAcentral describes it as "partial 16S ribosomal RNA". It matches the Rfam family "Bacterial small subunit ribosomal RNA", at positions 793 to 1055 of the family's 1533-position model. The record is from RNAcentral.